Molecule: small nuclear RNA, 23 nt
Filed under: Arabidopsis thaliana (thale cress)
Lineage: Eukaryota; Viridiplantae; Streptophyta; Magnoliopsida; Brassicales; Brassicaceae
Description: snRNA_12871
Source: RNAcentral
AACUCUGGUGGAAGCCCGCAGCG